GCCAGACUCCUACGGGAGGCAGCAGUGGGGAAUAUUGGACAAUGGGGGGAACCCUGAUCCAGCGACGCCGCGUGAGUGAAGAAGUAUUUCGGUAUGUAAAGCUCUCUCAGCAGGGAAGAAAGAAAUGACGGUACCUGAGUAAGAAGCCCCGGCUAACUACGUGCCAGCAGCCGCGGUAAUACGUAGGGGGCAAGCGUUAUCCGGAUUUACUGGGUGUAAAGGGGGCGCAGACGGCAGCGCAAGCCAGGAGUGAAAGCCCGGGGCCCAACCCCGGGACUGCUCUUGGAACUGGGCGGCUGGAGUGCAGGAGGGGCAGGCGGAAUUCCUGGUGUAGCGGUGAAAUGCGCAGAUAUCAGGAGGAACACCGGUGGCGAAGGCGGCCUGCUGGACUGCGACUGACGUUGAGGCCCGAAAGCGUGGGGAGCAAACAGGAUUAGAUACCCCCGUACA
This 450-nucleotide ribosomal RNA is filed under the name uncultured bacterium. RNAcentral describes it as "bacterial SSU rRNA". It matches the Rfam family "Bacterial small subunit ribosomal RNA", at positions 330 to 794 of the family's 1533-position model. The record is from RNAcentral.